UAGGGAAUCUUCCACAAUGGGCGAAAGCCUGAUGGAGCAACGCCGCGUGUGUGAUGAAGGGUUUCGGCUCGUAAAACACUGUUGUAAGAGAAGAACACGUAUGAGAGUAACUGUUCAUACGUUGACGGUAUUUAACCAGAAAGUCACGGCUAACUACGUGCCA
This 163-nucleotide ribosomal RNA is filed under the name uncultured bacterium. Its description in RNAcentral is "partial 16S rRNA". It matches the Rfam family "Bacterial small subunit ribosomal RNA", at positions 355 to 510 of the family's 1533-position model. The record is from RNAcentral.